UUGGGAAGUAAAAGUCGUAACAAGGUUUCCGUAGGUGAACCUGCGGAAGGAUCAUUAUGCAUAUCUGGGAUACCAAGAGGGUCCCUGAAUCCAUCUCCUCACUGUGUACCAAUCCAUGUUGCUUUCCCAGGUCCGCCUGGGAGAGGUCCAACCCAACACCAAUAAUUGAGUCCGCAGUCUGAGUAGGCCUAGCGCCUUGAAUGUUUGAACAAGUUAAAACUUUCAACAACGGAUCUCUUGGCUCUCGCAUCGAUGAAGAACGCAGCGAAAUGCGAUAAGUAAUGUGAAUUGCAGAAUUCAGUGAAUCAUCGAAUCUUUGAACGCACAUUGCGCCUCUUGGUAUUCCUUGAGGCAUGCCUGUUCGAGCGUCACUACAAACCCUCUCAUAGUUAUUAUGGUAUUGAUGGAAGUGAACUGUGUCUAUUGAUGUACUCACACCACUCCAUUGAAAUGAAUAGGCAGGACAAGUGACAACUGCAAUGGACUUAGUAAAUGGUUUCCAGACAUGGACCAGUUCUUUGCUAUGUUGUACAGCCUGUAUCCAUGGACUCCCAUCCAGUAAGCACCCUUGGGUGACCUCGAAUU
RNAcentral lists this ribosomal RNA (585 nucleotides) under Tuber lyonii. RNAcentral describes it as "eukaryotic LSU rRNA". The stretch from base 218 to 371 matches the Rfam family "5.8S ribosomal RNA". Lineage: Eukaryota; Fungi; Ascomycota; Pezizomycetes; Pezizales; Tuberaceae. The record is from RNAcentral.